AUUUCCCUAGUAACGGCGAGUGAAGAGGAAAGAGCUCAAAGUUGGAACCUGUUUGGCCUAGCUAAACAGGAUUGUAAACUGUAGAAGUGUUUUCCAGGCAAUCCGAGUUAAUAAGUCCUUUGGAACAGGGCAUCAUAGAGGGUGAGAAUCCCGUCUUUGAUUCGAGAUAUUUUGUCUUUUGCGAUACACUUUCAAAGAGUCAGGUUGUUUGGGAAUGCAGCCUAAAUUGGGUGGUAAAUCUCACCUAAAGCUAAAUAUUGGCGAGAAACCGAUAGCGAACAAGUACCGUGAGGGAAAGAUGAAAAGAACUUUGAAAAGAGAGUUAAACAGUAUGUGAAAUUGUUAAAAGGGAACCGUUUGGAGCCAGACUGGCUUGUCUGUAAUCAAUCUAGGUUUCGUGCCUGGAUGCACUUGCAGACUAUUUGCCUGCCAACGACAAUUUUUUUUGAGUGUAAAAACUAUUGGAAAUGUGGCCAUAUUUAUUUAUUGGUGUUAUAGUCCUUUAGAAAAUACCUUGAAUUGGAUUGAGGAACGCAGCGAAUGCUUCUCUUUUGAGGCAAAGUCUUUUAUUGGGAUUUACGGAUCAGACUGUGGCAUUGUCACAAGACUUGAAGUUUAAACCUAUUUUUGAAC
This 633-nucleotide ribosomal RNA is filed under the name Rhizopus stolonifer. RNAcentral's name for it is "partial large subunit ribosomal RNA". It matches the Rfam family "Eukaryotic large subunit ribosomal RNA", at positions 74 to 618 of the family's 3401-position model. Lineage: Eukaryota; Fungi; Mucoromycota; Mucoromycetes; Mucorales; Rhizopodaceae. The record is from RNAcentral.